GUGGGUGAUCUGCCCUGCACUUUGGGAUAAGCCUGGGAAACUGGGUCUAAUACCGAAUAUGACCAUGCGCCUCCUGGUGUGUGGUGGAAAGCUUUUGCGGUGUGGGAUGGGCCCGCGGCCUAUCAGCUUGUUGGUGGGGUAAUGGCCUACCAAGGCGACGACGGGUAGCCGGCCUGAGAGGGUGACCGGCCACACUGGGACUGAGAUACGGCCCAGACUCCUACGGGAGGCAGCAGUGGGGAAUAUUGCACAAUGGGCGCAAGCCUGAUGCAGCGACGCCGCGUGAGGGAUGACGGCCUUCGGGUUGUAAACCUCUUUCAGCACAGACGAAGCGCAAGUGACGGUAUGUGCAGAAGAAGGACCGGCCAACUACGUGCCAGCAGCCGCGGUAAUACGUAGGGUCCGAGCGUUGUCCGGAAUUACUGGGCGUAAAGAGCUCGUAGGUGGUUUGUCGCGUUGUUCGUGAAAACUCACAGCUUAACUGUGGGCGCGCGGGCGAUACGGGCAGACUUGAGUACUGCAGGGGAGACUGGAAUUCCUGGUGUAGCGGUGGAAUGCGCAGAUAUCAGGAGGAACACCGGUGGCGAAGGCGGGUCUCUGGGCAGUAACUGACGCUGAGGAGCGAAAGCGUGGGGAGCGAACAGGAUUAGAUACCCUGGUAGUCCACGCCGUAAACGGUGGGUACUAGGUGUGGGUUUCCUUCCU
RNAcentral lists this ribosomal RNA (705 nucleotides) under uncultured bacterium. RNAcentral's name for it is "bacterial SSU rRNA". It matches the Rfam family "Bacterial small subunit ribosomal RNA", at positions 117 to 836 of the family's 1533-position model. The record is from RNAcentral.